RNAcentral lists this ribosomal RNA (255 nucleotides) under uncultured bacterium. RNAcentral's name for it is "partial 16S ribosomal RNA". It matches the Rfam family "Bacterial small subunit ribosomal RNA", at positions 527 to 779 of the family's 1533-position model. The record is from RNAcentral.
CGGAGGAGCUAGCGUUGUUCGGAAUUACUGGGCGGUAAAGACGCACGUAGGCGGCUUUGUAAGUUAGAGGUGAAGCCUGGAGCUCAACUCCAGAAUUGCCUUUGUAUACUGCAUGGCUUGAAUCCAGGAGAGGUGAGUGGAAUUCCGAGUGUAGAGGUGAAAUUCGUAGAUAUUCGGAAGAACACCAGUGGCGAAGGCGGCUCACUGGACUGGUAUUGACGCUGAGGUGCGAAAGCGUGGGGAGCAAACAGGAUU